GACGAACGCUGGCGGCGUGCUUAACACAUGCAAGUCGAACGAAGUGGCGAACGGGUGAGUAAUACGUGGGUAACCUGCCCUCCUUUUUAGGAUAAGCCUUGGAAACGGGGUCUAAUACCGAAUAAAGGGGGAUGGGCUCGCGGCCUAUCAGCUUGUUGGUGGGGUGAUGGCCUACCAAGGCGGUGACGGGUAGCCGGCCUGAGAGGGUGACCGGCCACAUUGGGACUGAGAUACGGCCCAGACUCCUACGGGAGGCAGCAGUGAGGAAUAUUGGUCAAUGGAGGAAACUCUGAACCAGCCAAGUCGCGUGAAGGAUGACGGCCUAUGGAUUGUAAACUUCUUUAGUAGGCGAGUAAGUAGCCUAAGAAUAAGUAUCGGCUAACUCCGUGCCAGCAGCCGCGGUAAUAC
This 408-nucleotide ribosomal RNA is filed under the name uncultured bacterium. Its description in RNAcentral is "partial 16S ribosomal RNA". It matches the Rfam family "Bacterial small subunit ribosomal RNA", at positions 28 to 526 of the family's 1533-position model. The record is from RNAcentral.